RNAcentral lists this transfer RNA (24 nucleotides) under Ningaui ridei (Wongai ningaui). RNAcentral describes it as "partial tRNA-Pro". Lineage: Eukaryota; Metazoa; Chordata; Mammalia; Dasyuromorphia; Dasyuridae. The record is from RNAcentral.
GCAGGAAGUAGUUUAAACAGAAUA